RNAcentral lists this ribosomal RNA (423 nucleotides) under uncultured bacterium. Its description in RNAcentral is "bacterial SSU rRNA". It matches the Rfam family "Bacterial small subunit ribosomal RNA", at positions 355 to 775 of the family's 1533-position model. The record is from RNAcentral.
UGAGGAAUAUUGGGCAAUGGGCGCAAGCCUGACCCAGCCAUGCCGCGUGAAGGAUGAAUGCCCUAUGGGUUGUAAACUUCUUUUGUACGGGACAAAACUCCUGGUCGUGACCGGGAUUGAUGGUACCGUACGAAUAAGCUUCGGCUAACCCCGUGCCAGCAGCCGCGGUAAUACGGAGGAUGCAAGCGUUAUCCGGAUUCAUUGGGUUUAAAGGGUGCGUAGGCGGAAUAGCAAGUCAGCGGUGAAAGCCUGUGGCUUAACCAUAGAAAUGCCGUUGAUACUGUUAUUCUUGAGUGUAGUUGAAGUGGGCGGAAUGUGUAAUGUAGCGGUGAAAUGCUUAGAUAUUACACAGAACACCAAUUGCGAAGGCAGCUCACUAAGCUAAUACUGACGCUGAGGCACGAAAGCGUGGGGAGCAAACAG